CCUACGGGAGGCAGCAGUGAGGAAUAUUGGUCAAUGGACGAGAGUCUGAACCAGCCAAGUCGCGUGAAGGAUGACUGCCCUAUGGGUUGUAAACUUCUUUUAUAUGGGAAUAAAAUGUUCCACGUGUGGGAUUUUGCAUGUACCAUAUGAAUAAGGCUCGGCUAACUCCGUGCCAGCAGCCGCGGUAAUACGGAGGUGCCGAGCGUUAUCCGGAUGUAUUGGGUGUAAGGGGAGCGUAGGUGGAGUGUUAAGUCAGUAGUGAAAGCUUGCGGCUCAACCGUGAAAUUGCAGUUGAAACUGGGAGGCUUGAGUACAGUAGAGGUGGGCGGAAUUCGUGGUGUAGCGGUGAAAUGCUUAGAUAUCACGAGGAACUCCGGUUGCGAAGGCAGUUCACUGGACUGCAACUGACGCUGAGGCUCGAAAGUGUGGGUAGCAAACAGGAUUAGAUACCCUUGUAGUC
RNAcentral lists this ribosomal RNA (460 nucleotides) under uncultured bacterium. RNAcentral's name for it is "partial 16S ribosomal RNA". It matches the Rfam family "Bacterial small subunit ribosomal RNA", at positions 338 to 795 of the family's 1533-position model. The record is from RNAcentral.